GGUUAGUACAAUAAUUUCAUUUUUAUUUUUAUAUUUUUAGUGUCAUUAUAUUUAUGGGUUUGAAAUCUGUUAUGCAGUUGGGGUUUUUUAACACGAAUUGAUUUGCUUUGAAUUCAGGCAUUAUAUACAUCAAAAUACAGCCGUUGUUUAUAACAGUGGUUCCCAAAGUAGGUGAUACUGACCCCCUGGAGAUGGUUGAAAGAUCUGUUUGUGGUGGUAUGUGUGUGCUAAGAAUGUGGCCUAGGUGCCAACAGGGCAGCAGUCUGAAAAAGUUUGGGAACCACUGGUUUAUAACAAACUGUAGAUUACAGUUCAAUCUAAUAAACAGCAUACAACUGUAUUAAUAACUAAAUAACAGUUAAUAAUACAACAAUAAAUACUCUAAUAUUAGGAUUUUUUUUUAGCAUUGGGAAA
Octopus sinensis (East Asian common octopus) is the source of this 414-nucleotide long non-coding RNA. RefSeq lists it as uncharacterized. The record is from RefSeq and is a predicted model, not a curated record. The transcript has 2 exons. NCBI's taxonomy places the organism in Eukaryota, Metazoa, Mollusca, Cephalopoda, Octopoda, Octopodidae.